RNAcentral lists this transfer RNA (51 nucleotides) under Triosteum perfoliatum. Its description in RNAcentral is "partial tRNA-Leu". The record is from RNAcentral. Lineage: Eukaryota; Viridiplantae; Streptophyta; Magnoliopsida; Dipsacales; Caprifoliaceae.
CCUCUCCUUUUUCUCCUUUUUUGUUAGCGGUUCAAAAUUCGUUAUAUUUCU